This 998-nucleotide long non-coding RNA is filed under the name Homo sapiens (human). RNAcentral's name for it is "novel transcript". The record is from RNAcentral. Lineage: Eukaryota; Metazoa; Chordata; Mammalia; Primates; Hominidae.
AGAAGCUUGACAAGAGGCAUGGAGCAGAUGCUUCCUCACAGCCCUCAGAAGGAACCAACCCGCCAACCCCUUGAUCUCAGAUUUCUGGCCUCCAGAACCGCGAGACAGCAGAUUUCCAUGGCUUGAGCCGCCCGGUUUGUAGUACUUCAUUAUGGCAGCUCCAGCAAACAAAUACAGAUUUAUGACCUCGUCUACCCGACGAGGAUGCCUGGCCCAAGCUGGCAUACUAAGAGUUUUCCUGGAACUUGGGAACUGGGACAAAGAGGGACUAAGCCAGCAAGACCGAAAAGCAUGGCAGUCCCAGGACAGCCAUGAAAACCAUAUGUGAAUUAAUGAGUGAGCAGAUUGGAGCAGCAUUGUUUUGGACCCUAAGGACGUCACGUACAAAAUGCACUUAAAUCCUUGCCUCCUGGAGCUGAUGAUAAAGAAGAUGGACAAGUAAAACAUAUGGAAUGUGAAAUGGUGAUAAGAGUGAUGGAGAAAAUAAAACAGGAGAGGAGGUUGGAAUUGCCAGGUUACGACACAGCAAGAAGGCCCUCGCCAGAUGCAUCUCCUCCAUGUUGGACUUCCCAGCCUCCAGAUCCCUGAGCCAGAUAAAUUUCUAUGAUUUGCUCACUCUUUUGGAAAAUCACAUCAUUGACUGCCACACCACUCAUGGCUUCAGAUUCAGCUUCUGUUUCCUGAGUGCCUCCACUAUACCAGCCAUUGGGCCAGGCAUCCAGAAGCCCUAAGGUAGACCUCAUCAUCCCUGUUCUACAGGAGAGGAAAACCAAGACUUGGCUACUACAGUAUACAAAGGGUGUGGAAAAGUCCUCCUAGAACCCUUACCCUGCUUCCAGGAGGAGCUGGACAGUUCUUUCCAAGUCCAGGCAGAAAGAAGUCUCCUCUUUUUCCAUUCUCUUUGUUACUUUAUAUGUCUGUGCAGGCUUGGUUGAGGAAGAAGGGGGGCCAGAAGGAAGUCUGGCCAGAUGGCAGGGUAAUAAAUGACUCUGACUUAA